UAGAGUUCCUCUAUUUUAGAGGUGAAAAUAGCAAAAUACAUUGGAGAAUUACAAGUUCGAAAUAAAUGGUCUUUUCCUCUCUCAAUUUGAAUUUGAAUUUUCAUGAUUAAAAAUAGUAUGAAACAAGACAAAGUAUCUCGUUUGUAUUUAUCCAAAUACUAUUUGGUAAUAAAUGCAAUUUCAAAGGCCAAGUCAUAUACUCCAUCUCUUUAGUAAUAUUUUUCAAAUACAUUUAUUGUUAGAAACAUCUCAUUUUUACAAAAGAAAAAAAAAAUCUCAUGAGUAUUUAUUUUGAUAGAUAGAUAAAACUAAUCCUACUUACUAAUUAAUAUGCAUUCAAUGAAACCCUCUCUCAUCUUGUGUGUCUAUCUGCCUAUAUAUAACAACAGCCAAUAACAUGAAGACCUCAAACUUUCUUCGUUAACUCUCGAGAACAAAAACAAGAACAAUAGGUUCACCAAGGUUCCUAUAUUAUUCUUGGAAGGCAAGAAACAUGAAUCAACAAGAAGCUGCGAGUACACUUGGACUUGAUCUGAAACUAAAUAUACUGGAUUCAUCUUUGCCCAGAGAGAGUCCAUCUUCAUCGUUAUGCUCGGAAGAAACUGGAGGUGGAGGAGGAGACGCUGUGGUUGUUGGUUGUCCUAACUGCAUCAUGUACAUCAUCAUGUCUUUGGAGAGUAACCCUAGAUGCCCUAGAUGCAACAGCCAAGUUUUGCUUGAUUUUCUCACAGGAAACUGUAGCAAGAAGAGUAGUGAUUAAUAAAAAGCCAAUUAAAAAUGUUCUUUCCUUUGUUUUUCUUUUCUUGUUUUGUUGCCACAUAUAUUGAUAGUUAAAAUUAUACGACGCAAGGAUGUGUUCAUAAAACAUAAAUAUAUAUAGACACAUUUGUUUUCCAAGAAUUGUAUUAUUCAUUACUUUUCAACAGGUGAUUACGUCGAUAACCA
Molecule: RNA transcript, 945 nt
Organism: Brassica napus (rape)
Lineage: Eukaryota; Viridiplantae; Streptophyta; Magnoliopsida; Brassicales; Brassicaceae
Gene name: protein salt-induced and EIN3/EIL1-dependent 1-like
Exons: 2
Source: RefSeq, a predicted model, not a curated record